GACGAACGCUGGCGGCGUGCCUAACACAUGCAAGUCGAACGAGGUCCAUCCUUCGGGAGAAGACCUAGUGGCGAACGGGUGAGUAACACGUGAAGAACCUGCCCCGAAGACCGGGAUAACCCUCCGAAAGGAGAGCUAAUACCGGAUACCCCCACCGAACCGCAUGGUUUGGUGAGGAAAUGGAUUCCGCUUCGGGAGGGCUUCGCGGCCUAUCAGCUAGUUGGUGGGGUAACGGCCACCAAGGCAUCGACGGGUAGCUGGUCUGAGAGGACGAUCAGCCACACUGGGACUGAGACACGGCCCAGACUCCUACGGGAGGCAGCAGUGGGGAAUCUUGCGCAAUGGGCGAAAGCCUGACGCAGCAACGCCGCGUGGGGGAUGAAGGCUCUCGGGUUGUAAACCCCUUUCAGCAGGGACGAAUCAAGACGGUACCUGCAGAAGAAGCCCCGGCUAACUACGUGCCAGCAGCCGCGGUAU
Molecule: ribosomal RNA, 477 nt
Filed under: uncultured bacterium
Lineage: Bacteria
Description: bacterial SSU rRNA
Rfam family: Bacterial small subunit ribosomal RNA
Source: RNAcentral